UUAAUUUUACAACGAAAAAUUAAAAUAAAAUAAUUUCUACCUUGACUGCAUCAGUGGCUAGGGAGGUUCUUGGUGAGGUUGAUUCAUUCCCCAAGCGUAAACUGCACUAGAGGUCUGCUGCAAAGACUUGGGGGUUUAAGGACAAAUGCCCAAAAGAGCAGUAGAAGGUCUCCAAGCUGAUCAAGGGAGAGAUUUUUAUGCUGAAUGUUGGGUCAAUGGCAAUGGGGCCUCGAGUUAUUGGUGUAAGGAGGGAACUAGGAGAAGGUUGAAUUGAAAUUGAAAGAACCAGUGUGUACCAGGACAGGGCAUAAGGUUGCACCGAGCAGGAAGAUUGAUAUACAUUGGCGUCUGAUUGGACGGAUUGAAAUCAAAGACCAAAUCACCACUGCUCUGGAGGUUCC
This 401-nucleotide unclassified non-coding RNA is filed under the name Hevea brasiliensis (rubber tree). Lineage: Eukaryota; Viridiplantae; Streptophyta; Magnoliopsida; Malpighiales; Euphorbiaceae. The record is from RNAcentral.